RNAcentral lists this transfer RNA (70 nucleotides) under Loxodonta africana (African savanna elephant). It matches the Rfam family "tRNA". From Rfam's summary of the family: Transfer RNA (tRNA) molecules are approximately 80 nucleotides in length. Their secondary structure includes four short double-helical elements and three loops (D, anti-codon, and T loops). The record is from Rfam by way of RNAcentral. Lineage: Eukaryota; Metazoa; Chordata; Mammalia; Proboscidea; Elephantidae.
GCCUUGGUGGUUCAGUGGUAGAAUUCUCACCUUCCAUAUGGGAGAUCUGGUUCCAUUCCUGGCCAAUGCA